This 253-nucleotide ribosomal RNA is filed under the name uncultured bacterium. RNAcentral's name for it is "partial 16S ribosomal RNA". It matches the Rfam family "Bacterial small subunit ribosomal RNA", at positions 524 to 776 of the family's 1533-position model. The record is from RNAcentral.
UACGAAGGGGGCUAGCGUUGCUCGGAAUCACUGGGCGUAAAGGGUGCGUAGGCGGGUUUUUAAGUCAGGGGUGAAAUCCUGGAGCUCAACCCCAGAACUGCCUUUGAUACUGAAGAUCUUGAGUCCGGGAGAGGUGAGUGGAACUGCGAGUGUAGAGGUGAAAUUCGUAGAUAUUCGCAAGAACACCAGUGGCGAAGGCGGCUCACUGGCCCGGUACUGACGCUGAGGCACGAAAGCGUGGGGAGCAAACAGG